UAAAGCAAGAAAGGGCGUAUGGGGAAUGCCUAGGCACACUCCGGCGAAGAAGGACGCAGCAAACAGCGAAAUGCGACGGUGAGCGGUAAGCACGUGAAGAGCCGUCGAUAUCCGAAUGGGGGAACCCACACGGAGUCAUAUCCGUGUAUCACAUGUCGAAUACAUAGACAUGAUGAGGCGAGACGCAGGGAACUGAAACAUCUAAGUACCUGCAGGAAGAGAAAAUAAGAAUGAUUUUCUGAGUAGCGGCGAGCGAAAGGGAAAGAGCCCAAACCGAUUUGAGGAUCGGGGUAGUAGGAUCAUCGAGAAAUCAAACAGAGGAUCAUAGAGGAAUCACAUGGGAAGGUGAGCGAGAGAGGGUGAGAGCCCCGUACUCGAAAUGAGAGACUGGAGAGAGAUGACACCUGAGUAGGGCGGGACACGAGAAAUCCUGUCUGAAUCAGCCGGGACCAUCCGGCAAGGCUAAAUACGAGAGAGUGACCGAUAGUGAACCAGUACCGUGAGGGAAAGGUGAAAAGAACCCCGGGAGGGGAGUGAAAGAGAACCUGAAACCAUAUGCCUACAAGAAGUCAGAGCCCGUUAAAGGGUGAUGGCGUGCCUUUUGUAGAAUGAACCGGCGAGUUACUGUAUGGAGCGAGGUUAAGCAGGAUAUGCGGAGCCGAAGCGAAAGCGAGUCUUAAGAGGGCGCGAGUUGCAUGCAGUAGACCCGAAACCGGGUGAUCUAGCCAUGACCAGGUUGAAGUUGGGGUAAAACCCGAUGGAGGACCGAACCGACCCCCGUUGAAACGUUGGCGGAUGAGUUGUGGCUAGGGGUGAAAUUCCAAUCGAACCCGGAGAUAGCUGGUUCUCCCCGAAAUAGCUUUAGGGCUAGCGUCGAGAGAAGAGUUGCGUGAAGGUAGAGCACUGAAUAUGUGAUGGCCCCAUCUCGGGGUACUGAGCAUAAUCAAACUGCGAAUGUCACGCCAACAUGCUCGGCAGUCAGACAGCGGGUGAUAAGGUCCGUUGUCAAGAGGGAAACAGCCCAGACCAUCAGCUAAGGUCCCAAAAUGUAUGCUAAGUGGAAAAGGAUGUGGAGAUGUACAGACAACUAGGAGGUUGGCUCAGAAGCAGCCAUCCUUUAAAGAGUGCGUAACAGCUCACUAGUCGAAUGACUCUGCGCCGAUAAUUUACCGGGGCUAAGCAUACUACCGAAGCUAUGGAUCCCAAGGGAUGGUAGGGGAGCGUUCCAUGAACGGAGAAGUACGACCGAAAGGACGUGUGGAGAUCAUGGAAGAGAGAAUGCCGGUGUGAGUAGCGGAACGUGGGUGAGAAUCCCACGCACCGAAAACCCAAGGUUUCCAGAGGAAGGUUCGUCCGCUCUGGGUAAGUCGGGACCUAAGGCGAGGCCGAAAGGCGUAGUCGAUGGACAACAGGUAGAGAUUCCUGUACCCGUAUAUAUGUGAAGGAAUGACGGAGAGAGGAAGCUGCAGCCAGCGGCUGGAAGAGCUGGUGCAAGCGAGAUAUCGGGAUGGCAGGCAAAUCCACCAUCCGAAACGAGAAGGCGUGAAGCGUACGGAAAGCUACGGCGAGUACGGAAGGCAGUGGAGGAACUUCCAAGAAAAGUUUCUAACGUUAAGUAUAUAUGGCCCGUACCGAAAAUGGACACACAUGGGUGAGGAGAGAAUCCUAAGGUGAGCGAGAGAACUAUAGCUAAGGAACUCUGCAAAAUGACUCCGUAACUUAGGGAGAAGGAGUGCUCAUAGAGAUAUGAGCCGCAGUGAAACGGCCCAAGCGACUGUUUACCAAAAACACAGCUCUCUGCUAAGCCGCAAGGCGAAGUAUAGGGGGUGACGCCUGCCCGGUGCUGGAAGGUUAAGGGGAGGGGUUAACGCAAGUGAAGCCCUGAACUGAAGCCCCAGUAAACGGCGGCCGUAACUAUAACGGUCCUAAGGUAGCGAAAUUCCUUGUCAGGUAAGUUCUGACCCGC
RNAcentral lists this ribosomal RNA (1966 nucleotides) under human gut metagenome. RNAcentral's name for it is "bacterial LSU rRNA". It matches the Rfam family "Bacterial large subunit ribosomal RNA", at positions 1 to 1991 of the family's 2925-position model. The record is from RNAcentral.